UCGAUGGUAGGUUAUGCGCCUACCAUGGUUGUAACGGGUAACGGGGAAUCAGGGUUCGAUUCCGGAGAGGGAGCCUGAGAAACGGCUACCACAUCCAAGGAAGGCAGCAGGCACGCAAAUUACCCAAUCCCAGAACGGGGAGGUAGUGACGAAAAAUAACAAUACGGGACUCUUAUGAGGCCCCGUAAUUGGAAUGAGAACAAUCUAAAUCCUUUAACGAGGAUCUAUUGGAGGGCAAGUCUGGUGCCAGCAGCCGCGGUAAUUCCAGCUCCAAUAGCGUAUAUUAAAGUUGUUGUGGUUAAAAAGCUCGUAGUUGGAUCUCAGUUCGAGUCAGGCGGUCCACUUGCCAGUGGCUACUGCCUGACUGAACACUUUACCGAGUUGUCCUAUGGUGUUCUUCACCGAGCGUCAUAGGCGAUCGGUACGUUUACUUUGAAAAAAAUUAGAGUGCUCAAAGCAGGCGUAACGCCCGAAUAAUGUUGCAUGGAAUAAUGGAAUAGGACCUCGGUUCUAUUUUGUUGGUCUUCGGAAUCAGAGGUAAUGAUCAAUAGGGACAGACGGGGACAUUCGUAUUGCGGCGCUAGAGGUGAAAUUCUUGGACCGUCGCAAGACGAACUAAAGCGAAAGCAUUUGUCAAGAAUGUUUUCAUUAAUCAAGAACGAAAGUUAGAGGUUCGAAGGCGAUCAGAUACCGCCCUAGUUCUAACCAUAAACGAUGCCAACCAGUAAUUCGUCUGAGUUCCUUAAAUGACUCGACGAGGGACUUCCGGGAAACCAAAGUCUUUCGGUUCCAGGGGAAGUAUGGUUGCAAAGCUGAAACUUAAAGAAAUUGACGGAAGGGCACCACCAGGAGUGGAGCCUGCGGCUUAAUUUGACCCAACACGGGAAAACUCACCCGGCCCGGACACUGGAAGGAUUGACAGAUUGAGAGCUCUUUCUUGAUUCAGUGGGUGGUGGUGCAUGGCCGUUCUUAGUUGGUGGAGUGAUUUGUCUGGUUAAUUCCGAUAACGAACGAGACUCUAGCCUACUAAAUAGAUCGUCGGCUUACAAACGCCGGCGAGACUUCUUAGAGGGGCAGGCGGUGAUUCAACCGCACGAAACAGAGCAAUAACAGGUCUGUGAUGCCCUUAGAUGUCCGGGGCCGCACGCGCGCUACACUGAAGUGAUCAGCGUGCUUUUUCAACCUACUCUGUCAAGAGUGGGGAACCCAAUGAACCUUCUUCGUGAUUGGGAUAGGGGAUUGUAAUUAUUCCCCUUGAACGAGGAAUUCCCAGUAAGCGCGAGUCAUAAGCUCGCGUUGAUUACGUCCCUGCCCUUUGUACACACCGCCCGUCGCUACUACCGAUUGAAUGUUUUAGUGAGGUCUUCGGACUGGCCGGCGCAGCACUCUCGUAGUGCAGCGCUGUGUUUGGAAAGAUGCCCAAACUUGAACAUUUAGAGGAAGUAAAAGUCGUAACAAGGUU
RNAcentral lists this ribosomal RNA (1462 nucleotides) under metagenome. RNAcentral's name for it is "SSU rRNA". It matches the Rfam family "Eukaryotic small subunit ribosomal RNA", at positions 322 to 1801 of the family's 1831-position model. The record is from RNAcentral.